GACGAACGCUGGCGGCGUGCUUAACACAUGCAAAUCGAACGGAAAGGCCCUGCUUUUGUGGGGUGCUCGAGUGGCGAACGGGUGAGUAACACGUGAGUAACCUGCCCUUGACUUUGGGAUAACUUCAGGAAACUGGGGCUAAUACCGGAUAGGAGCUCCUGCUGCAUGGUGGGGGUUGGAAAGUUUCGGCGGUUGGGGAUGGACUCGCGGCUUAUCGGCUUGUUGGUGGGGUAGUGGCUUACCAAGGCUUUGACGGGUAGCCGGCCUGAGAGGGUGACCGGCCACAUUGGGACUGAGAUACGGCCCAGACUCCUACGGGAGGCAGCAGUGGGGAAUAUUGCACAAUGGGCGGAAGCCUGAUGCAGCAACGCCGCGUGCGGGAUGACGGCCUUCGGGUUGUAAACCGCUUUCGCCUGUGACGAAGCGUGAGUGACGGUAAUGGGUAAAGAAGCACCGGCUAACUACGUG
RNAcentral lists this ribosomal RNA (468 nucleotides) under uncultured bacterium. RNAcentral describes it as "partial 16S ribosomal RNA". It matches the Rfam family "Bacterial small subunit ribosomal RNA", at positions 28 to 507 of the family's 1533-position model. The record is from RNAcentral.